This 74-nucleotide transfer RNA is filed under the name Rattus norvegicus (Norway rat). It matches the Rfam family "tRNA". Rfam says of the family: Transfer RNA (tRNA) molecules are approximately 80 nucleotides in length. Their secondary structure includes four short double-helical elements and three loops (D, anti-codon, and T loops). Lineage: Eukaryota; Metazoa; Chordata; Mammalia; Rodentia; Muridae. The record is from Rfam by way of RNAcentral.
GGCUGGUUAGCUCAAUUGGUUAGAGCAUAGUGCUAAUAACUCCAAGGUCAUGGGUUCAAUCCCCGUAUGAUCCA